CGCGGGGUGGAGCAACUGGUAGCUCGUCGGGCUCAUAACCCGAAGGUCGUAGGUUCGAAUCCUGCCUCCGCAACCA
Molecule: transfer RNA, 76 nt
Filed under: Alkaliphilus metalliredigens QYMF
Lineage: Bacteria; Bacillati; Bacillota; Clostridia; Peptostreptococcales; Natronincolaceae
Description: tRNA-fMet (CAT) (tRNA-fMet-CAT-2-1)
Rfam family: tRNA
About the family: Transfer RNA (tRNA) molecules are approximately 80 nucleotides in length.
Source: RNAcentral